GCCCGGGUGGCGGAAUUGGCAGACGCGGAGGACUCAAAAUCCUCUGGCUGAAAGGUCGUGCGGGUUCAAGUCCCGCCCCGGGCA
Molecule: transfer RNA, 84 nt
Filed under: Acidimicrobiaceae bacterium
Lineage: Bacteria; Bacillati; Actinomycetota; Acidimicrobiia; Acidimicrobiales; Acidimicrobiaceae
Description: tRNA-Leu
Rfam family: tRNA
About the family: Transfer RNA (tRNA) molecules are approximately 80 nucleotides in length. Their secondary structure includes four short double-helical elements and three loops (D, anti-codon, and T loops).
Source: RNAcentral